GGUUGCCCGUGAAAUGAAUAUUAGUUCUCCCUUAAUUUUACCCCCAAGACUCAAUUACUUGYUCGUAGCAAAUUAAGAGUAAUUUAAAGGAGGUACAGCUCCUUUAAAACAGAACACAAUCUCCUCCAGAGGAUAAGCCAAAGUACUCCCAAACUUGUAGGCCUUUAAGCAGCCACCAACAAAGAAUGCGUCAAAGCUCCUCAUACUAAAAAUAUAAGACUCUACGCGACUCCCUCACCCAUAACGGGCUAACCUAUCAAAUAUAGGAGCAUUAAUGCUAAAAUAAGUAACUAAGGACCCUCCUUCUAAAGCACAAACUUACAUCUUCAUAUUAUUAACAGGCCCACUAAUAGCCCAACCACUACAAGACUGACUAUCUAAUACCCUGUUAGACCAACCCAGGAGUGCUCAACUAGAAAGAUUAAAACCUGUAAAAGGAACUAGGCAAACCCAAGGCCCGACUGUUUACCAAAAACAUAGCCUUCAGCAAAACAGCCAAGUAUUGAAGGUGAUGCCUGCCCAGUGACACUAAGUUUAACGGCCGCGGUAUCCUAACCGUGCAAAGGUAGCGCAAUCAAUUGUCCCAUAAAUCGAGACUUGUAUGAACGGCCAAACGAGGUCUUAACUGUCUCUUGCAGGUAAUCAGUGAAAUUGAUCUCCCCGUGCAAAAGCAGGGAUAAACCCAUAAGACGAGAAGACCCUGUGGAACUUAAAAACCAACAGCCACUCUACGAACUCAAAACCCCAUAGGGCCCACUACCAAUAGACGAUUGGCUCGCAUUUUUCGGUUGGGGCGACCUUGGAGAAAAACGUAUCCUCCAAAAAUAAGACCAUCCAUCCUAACCAAGAUCAACCACUCAAAGUGCUAACAGUAACCAGACCCAGUAUAACUGAUUAAUGAACCAAGCUACCCCAGGGAUAACA
This 924-nucleotide ribosomal RNA is filed under the name Eulabeornis castaneoventris. Its description in RNAcentral is "partial 16S ribosomal RNA". It matches the Rfam family "Bacterial large subunit ribosomal RNA", at positions 852 to 2479 of the family's 2925-position model. The record is from RNAcentral. Lineage: Eukaryota; Metazoa; Chordata; Aves; Gruiformes; Rallidae.